RNAcentral lists this ribosomal RNA (253 nucleotides) under uncultured bacterium. Its description in RNAcentral is "partial 16S ribosomal RNA". It matches the Rfam family "Bacterial small subunit ribosomal RNA", at positions 524 to 776 of the family's 1533-position model. The record is from RNAcentral.
GACGAACCGAGCGAACGUUAUUCGGAAUCACUGGGCUUAAAGGGCGCGUAGGCGGGCCGUCAAGUCAGGGGUGAAAGCCCCCAGCUCAACUGGGGAAGUGCCUCUGAUACUGGCGGCCUCGAGGGAGGUAGGGGCGUGCGGAACUUCCGGUGGAGCGGUGAAAUGCGUAGAUAUCGGAAGGAACACCGGUGGCGAAAGCGGCGCGCUGGACCUCUUCUGACGCUGAGGCGCGAAAGCCAGGGGAGCGAACGGG